Molecule: ribosomal RNA, 893 nt
Filed under: uncultured bacterium
Lineage: Bacteria
Description: bacterial SSU rRNA
Rfam family: Bacterial small subunit ribosomal RNA
Source: RNAcentral
AGAGUUUGAUCAUGGCUCAGGGUUAACGCUGGCGGCGUGCCUAACACAUGCAAGUCGAACGGUUCUAAGCGCGAGCUUAGGAUAGUGGCGAACGGGUGAGUAAAAGGUAGGAAUCUACCCCUUGGACGGAGAUAGCUACUGGAAACGGUAGGUAAACUUCGAUAAGCCCGAGAGGGGAAAGUGGUGAGACAGCCGAGGGAUGAGCCUACUCUCCAUCAGGUAGUUGGUGAGAUAAAAGCUUACCAAGCCGAUGACGGAUAACCGGUGUGAGAGCAUGAACGGUCACAAGGGCACUGANAGACGGGCCCUACUCCUACGGGAGGCAGCAGUGGGGAAUCUUGGACAAUGGGCGAAAGCCUGAUCCAGCGACGCCGCGUGGAGGAAGAAGUCCUUCGGGAUGUAAACUUCUGAACUAGCCGAAUAAAAGGCCUGUGGACACACAGGAGAAGAAAGUANGCUAGGAAAAGUCCCGGCUAACUACGUGCCAGCAGCCGCGGUAAGACGUAGGGGGCAAGCGUUACCCGGAAUUACUGGGCGUAAAGGGGGCGUAGGCGGUAAAAGAAGUCAUCUGUGAAAACCUAUUGCUCAACGAUAGGCUAGCGGAUGAAACUGAAUUACUUGAGGGCACCAGAGGUAGACGGAAUUACCCGAGUAGGGGUGAAAUCCGCAGAUACGGGUAGGAACGCCGGUGGAGAAGUCGGUCUACUGGGGUGCACCAGACGCUGAGGCCCGAAAGCUAGGGGAGCAAACCGGAUUAGAUACCCGGGUAGUCCUAGCCGUAAACGAUGCUCACUANGUGUAGGGAGUGAUAAACUCUCUGUGCUGAAGCGAACGCGCUAAGUGAGCCGCCUGGGGAGUACGUCCGCAANGAUGAAACUCNAAGGAAUUGACGG